GUCUUUUUCAUGGCUUGAAAGCUCAUUUCUUUUUGGCAUUGAAUAUUAUUCCAUUGUCUGGAUGUACCACAGCUUAUUUACCCAUUCACCUACUGAAAGACAUCUUGGCAAUUAUGAAUAAAACUUCCAUAAACAACCAUGUGCAGGUUGCUUUGCAGACACAAAUUUUCAACUCCUUUGGGUAAAUACCAAGGGGUGUGAUUGCUGGAUCAUAUGGUAAGAGUGUGUUUAGUUUUGUAAGAAAUGAACAAACUGUCUUCAACGUGGUUGUACCAUUUUUCAUUCCCAUGAGCAAUGAAUGAGGUCUCCUAUUGCUCCAUAUCCUCACCAGCAUUUGAUGUUGUCAGUAUUCUGGAUUUUGACCAUUCCAAUGAGUAUGUAGUAGUGUCUCAUUGUUGUUUUAAUUUGCAUUAUCCUGAUGAUGUAUGAUAUGGAGCAUCUUUUCAUAUGCUUAUGUAUAUUUUCUUUGGUGAGAUAUCUGUUAAGGUCUUUGACUCAUUUUUUAAUUGGGUUGUUUGUUUUCUUACUGUCGCAUUUUAAGAGUUCUUUGUCUAUUUUGGAUAACUGUCUUUUAUCAGAUGUCUUUUACAAAUAUUAUCUCCCAGUCUGUGACUUGUCUUUAAUUCUCUUGGCAUUUUGCAGAACAGAAAUUUUUAAUUUUAAUGAAGUUCAGUUUAAUUACUUCUACUGCUGGGAAGGAAAAAUUUUUCCUUCUUCCCCUCUAGGUUCAUUAGCUGGUCUAAUAAUUAAAUUGACCUAAGACAGAUUAACAGGAGAAAAACAAAUUUAAUUAUGUAGGUACAGGAGCCCCACAGAGACAUAAGAUUCCAAGGCAGUCAAGCAAUUGAGGCUUAUAUACAAUCCUGAGCUAAGAAGAAAAGGGUAGGGAUCUGGGGUUUCAAAGAGGAGGGCAACAAUUCACAGGAAGAUGAGAAGAGCAACUGUUCUAUAAACAGAUAUUUGCCAUGCCAUGCAGAUAAGUCUCUCUGACUUACAUCUGAUAAUAGCUCUUUUCCUGGUAUAGGACCCCUACCUAAAUUGUUUUAGGCAGUUAAGGGAGAGGUAAAAAGCUUUUCCUGAGUUUCUGGGUCCUAAUUGCCUUCAAUUCAAAACAAUCGACAUGCCAAAGUAGCCCAUUUUGGGGUGACAUAUUUGUUCCCCCUCACUUUCAUGGGUCAUAUCUUUAGUGUUAUAUCUAAAAAGGCGCGCUUUUUUUUAAUCAAAAUAGUUAUUUUUGUGAGAUAACCAGCCUACCUCUUAAGUAUUCAAACUCUCGUGUAGUCUCCUACCACAUUAUAACAAGAUUGGUCUGUGUGAACAAUAAAAUAUGGCAUAAAUGGUGAUAUGUACUUGUGAGAUUGAAUUAUAAAAGAAGCUCUGGCUUCAACUGGGCCACUCUUUUGGUCUUCAAUAUUUCUGUCUCUGUCUCUCCCUCCCUCUCUGGUGUCCUUUGGGAGAAGCCAGGUGCCAUGUCAAACAGCUCUAUGGAGAGGCCCCAUCCUUUACAAGUGAUUCUCUUGGAGCCUCCCUCAUUUGACAUCAGAGAAGAAAGAGCUGAGAGGGAAGGAGAAGGAAGUCUCCACCUCCAAUCCAUCCCUCCCUCCUCGAUCUCCAAUAACAACCUUCUCUCUCCAAAUCGUUUCUAACCUGGACAGAGGUGGGAGGAAUGAUAUGAAUGGGUCUGCUUCCUCCCAGUAAGCCCUGCAGCGAGGUGUCCAGCUCCAGGUGCUGAAGGAAACUUGAUAGUUACAAUUUUUAAAAUGAGAAGGUGUUUUGCCUUUUGUUUACAGUUGUAUCCUGUAGUCACCAAUGUCAACACUACUCUGUAUCUAAGCUCACCUGUUAAUUAUACUUUCAUUUCCUUCCUUGCAAAAUUUUUUGUUUUUCCUGGAGCUAAUAAUUAUCUUUGUUUUCAUUUGCUUGGUUUUCUUUAAACAUCUAAGUCUUCCUGAAACCUCCAACAGACCUGUCAAAUCCCUCUCAAUACAAUUUUCCUCGCCUUCAAACCUGUCAGAUAGUUUGCUUUUGUCCUGAGAAUUCCCUUUUCUCCCUCUUAAGUAGGAUAACAUACAUGCUGAGUUAAUGCUUUCCUCUUUCUUAGUUUUCCUUUUGUUUGGCGAAGCACAUCCUACUAUAUCUGCUUGCAAAUCAGUUCAUGAGAGGUAAAAUAUUUUGAGAUCUUUCAUGUAUCAGAAUGACUUUAGUCUAGCCACAUGCUCAGUUGAUAAUCUGAUUGGAUAUAGGAUUCUAGGUUGCAAAUUAUUUUUACUCAGAAUUUUUAUGACACUGUUCCACUGUUUUCUGACUUCCAUUGCUGUUCCACUAUCACUCUGAUUCUUCAUUUGUGUGUGUGUGAGGAAGACUGUCCCUGAGCUAACAUCUACUGCCAAUCUUCAUCUCCUUUGUGUGGGGUGCUGCCACAGCAUGGCUUGAUGAGCAGUGCUAGGUCCGUACCUGGGAUAUGAAAUGGCAAACCCCAGGCUGCCAAAGCAGAGCACACGAGCUUAACCACUACGCCACUGGGCUGGCCCUUGAUUCUUAAGUUUUUGCGUAUGACUGUUUGUCUCACUAAAAUCUUCAGUAUCGUUUUUAUCCCUAAAAUUUAAUUAGGUAUACAUUGAUGUGGAUCUUUUUUCCACUUAUUGUAUGGGCGCUCAGGGUUCCAAGAGAGGCCACUGUCCUGGUCCCUGAAAUUUAGAAGGAGCCCUGCACUAAAACGAAGACAUUGAUUUUUCCUUUUACUAUCAUUGGAAAAUAUUUUAGAAGUUCAAGAACUAAAUAAAAUAAGCAGGAAUCAUGGGAGAGAGGCUCAGGCUAACCUGGGGCCUCCAGGCCUGAAGAUGCAGGACUGCGGACACGUGAAGAGAAUAAAUUCACCACUUCUGCCCUGGGGCACCAGAGGAAAAAUGCCUACCUUUCCUUAAACUUAGUCACCUCAGAUCCACCAAAAUCACACGUAGGCAGGCAGGUUCUCCUCCUCCCUACUAAUUGCACUCCCUGCCAGUCGUAUGCUUAGUGGUGUAGUUUCCAGGACUUACUGGAAAUCCUAAAUCAGAAGCUAGAGGCCUGAGGGAGGAAAACUUGCCUAGCAGGUUCCUACAGGAACUUGACCAGGUCAGUCCUGGGCCCAGUCCAGCUUCCAACCUGCUAUUCUAGCAGACAGCCUGCCCCUCCCACCUCUUAGCUUGCAGGGUCCUGGUUGGUGCAGGGGAACACAUGGCUCCUUUAAUCUCUAGGCUUGGCCAAAAGGGCAGUCUCCAAGGAACAGGCUGCAGCACUUGGGUAGAAACGGGACCUGAACCGUGGUUCUAGCUUGGUUAUAACCUGUAAAUAUUUAGAAAUAUAUUAUGCAGACCUCUUCGUAUUCCUGCUCUGGACUCUGUAGGUGUUAAGAGUGGGCCUGCAAAUAAUCACUGGACACUUUCGAUAUGGAGAAGCAUCCUUGAGUUCUGAGAGAUGUACUGGGGUGUUUCAACGAUAAUUUCUUUCCUGAUGUAUUGUCUGUUUUCUUUGGAAUUUGUGUUAGUUGAAUUUUCUUAUUUUUUUCCUCACCUAUUGAUUCACCAUCUCUUUGCCUUUUUGUUCUAUUUUAUGGAGAAGUUUUUUAACUUUAUCUUCAAUAGAACUUAUCACCAACUGAAUUUGCGACUGCCAAUAUUUCUUUUUGUCUUUUGGUUGAUUAUUUAAUAGCAUCCUAUUCUUGCUUCAGGAAUGUAAUAUCUGUUCUGAUCCCUCAGAGUAUAUUAAUUACAGUUUCUUAAAGGUUUCCUCUGCUCCUCAUAUUGUCUAUGUUUCCUCUGAAUUUCCUUUUUGUUCUUUACUCGAGCUGUAUUUGAUGGAGUUUUUUUUCAAAUAUCUGGUGAUCCUUUGCUUUCUGUUCAUAUAUAAGAGUUAGACACUAAGACAAUCAGAAAAUUCCAUCUGCAUUUGCAAGAGUUUUGCGGAAUCACAUGCAAGAGUUUAGCAGAAUCACGUGCCUCACAGUCGGGCGAUUGGGUGACCUGAGAGCUAUCUUGUUGAAGUUCUGUCUCCAGAUGCUGUCCCUGACACAGCUCCAAGUCUUUGGAUGAAUCUUUCUAUCUCCUACUUGGCAAGCUCGAUCUUCACUGCUGGCACGUUGGAGCUGGUCAGGGUAAGAAGUUGGGCAUCUCUCCAUUCAUUGUAUGUAUAGGCUUUCGCUUGACUGCCUUGUUUUUAGAACAGCAUUUCACUUGUAUCCUCUUCAGUGGCAGUUUUCCCCCAGUCCAGUGCCUUUCUGGUUCAGUUUUUCUAGAGAAUAAACCUACUCUCUCCUACCGGAAUAAGGGAAAAUAUAGACCUAACUGUUUCCUGUCGCUUUUCUCACCACCAUCAUCACUCUUCCAAUCUAACCUUCACAGCACCUGGUGUCUGUGAUCCUCGAGCCUCCCAGUGUUCUACGAGACCAAUCCACAUACUUCUAUUUGGUACCACUUCCCCCUAGUCAGACUUGCACAGCUAUUUGAGUAUUACCUCUCUCCUUUCUGUUAUGUCAUUAACCACUCUGCCUGUUUUCAGUCUUCAUAUGUUGUGGCUUAUAUUUGUCCUAUGGAUUUUAUCAAAGAUGGUGUUGCACUUCUGUUUCCUGUUGUUUUUGUUUGGGGAGGGUCUUUGAGAAGAAAGAGGAUAAGAAAUGUUUUUAAUACUAAACUAUAAUCAUUCUCAGUUAUAUUUUAGGAAAGCAAUUUACCAAUAUGCUAAGAAAUCAAAACAAAAGGCUGCCAAAGGCUUAUAAACCAAGGCUUCUAUUACCAUCAUUACAUUUAAAUAGCUCAUAUCAGGGUACUAAAAUCAAUGAACCUUUUUCAAUCUUCAUCUUAACUCGCUUCUCAGCAGCAAUGGACAUUGUUUAAAAUUCUGUCCUGUUUAAAACACUUCCUUCCUCUGGCUCCAUGACACUGUACCUACCAGUUUUAUAUUCUAACUCUCUGGUUGCUCCACUCAUUACUUCUUUCAUUUAUUAAAUAUUUACUGAGUCCUUUCUCUAUGCCAGUUAUUAUACUAGAAGUUUAGGACAUAAUGAUGACUACAAAAUCACAGCUCCCACCAUCUAGGAGAUAAAACCUUGUGUGUCUUUUGCAGAUGCAUCUCCUUCUAUUUAGCCAUGAAACUAUGAAAUUUCUCUAAUUUUGUUUUAGGUUCUUGUCUCUUCUCACUAUAUACUAUCUCCUUAGAAAAACUCAUCCCCAAAAUAAAAGUCACAAUGUGAAGUGGCAGAUAUGUUAAUUAACUUGUUUAUGGUAAUUUUACAAUGUAUAUGUAUCCACUCAUCACACUGUACACUUUAAAUAUAUAUCAUUUUGUCACUUAUACCUCAGUAAACCUGAAAAAAAAAAAGAAAAAGUCAUCUUUGCCCAUGGCUUCAAUUAUCAUCUAUGUGCCAAUGACACAAAGUUGUAUCUCUUGCCAAGACCUCUACUGAGCUUCACACUUUUACCUAUUUGACAUCUUCAUUUGAAUAUUUUAAAGGCACCACUCAAUAUUUCCAAAACAAAAUUAAUCUGGUAAUCCUAACUCUAGGGACUGUCAUGCAAACACUCAUGCAAUACAAAAUCUAUAGUUUUGGCUUGGUCUCAUUCCACAUAUAAAAUCCACCACCAAUUUUUGUCCUCUUUUCUAAUUUUCUAAAUAUUUCUCGACUCCAUCCACUUUUCUCUAUCUCUAUCGCCCUGCUCACCUGCACUCUACAAUAUCCUUCCUACUUGGUGACCUGUAACCAUUCUAGCUUUCCCUCCAAAUCCUUCUCCAAGCUGUAGUCUGCAGCCAGAGUAAGCUUUUCAAACCAUAUAUGUGAUAACAUAAAAAACUUCUGCCAGCCCCAGCUUUAAAACUCCCAGUAGUUAAUAAAAUAAAGACUAAAAUCCAGGAGGUGGCCAUCCAGGCUGGCAUCAUCUGGUCCUUUCCUCCCUCUCCAGACACAUCUCAAAUCUCACUCUCCCUUUCGAUUAUUCAUCAUCCCUCUUUCAGACUGCCCUCUUCUGUCCUUUCUGCUCCUUCCCUCCGAAGCUUGUAUUCUCUUCCCACACCCUAGAAUGUUCUCCACUCCCCACCUUCUCUUUGCCUAGUUAACUCCGACAUACUCUCUUUUGUUAUAAACUUGCAUGGAAUCAUGUUCCUUUCCUUCUGACUUCUUAUUUCAACCUGUAAUUACACAUCCAUUAGUGUAUUUAUAACCCCAUUGAUUUAUAACCCCAUUUUCUUCAGAUUUUCACUGUUCUAUACAAUACUCACAAGCCAUGUGUGGCUGUUUAAAUUUAAAUUAAUUAAAAUUAAAUAAAAUUUAAAAUUCAGUUUCUCACUUACACUAGCUACAUUUACAAGGACUCAACAGCCACAUACAGCUAGUGGUUACCAUAUGGCUACCAUAUUGGAUAGCACAGAUAUGGAACAUUUAUAUCAUCACAGAAAGUUCUAUCAGACAGCACUGCUUCAGACUUCACACUCCACGAGAGGAGAACUGGGUCUACUUUUGCUCAUCCUUGUGUCCUCAAUGCCUAGCACAGGGCUUGCCAAAUAUUUUUUUAAAUGAUCAAAUAAAUGAAUUUUUGAUACAGUACUAUCUAUUAUUUCCAAAAUAAAAGCAACCUAAGUAGCCAACAUCAGAGAAAUGAUAAAAUAAAAAUGGAUUCAUGCAAUCAUUAAAAAUUUUAUAAAGUUUUGUAAUAACGUAGUGAAAUGUUUAUUAAAUAAUGAUGGUAAGUGAAAAAGGAAGAAAUAAUACCAUGCAUAUAGUGUGAUCACUACUACAUAAAACAAUGUGUAUAGAAUGAGAGGAAAAAAUAAAAUACUACUAGCAGUUAUCACUGGAUAAGGACUAUGGGCAAUGAAUUGUAUUUUCUCCAGAUGUUUUUAUUUAUCCAAGUUUUCCACAAUGAAAAUAUCCUCCUGUCAUAAUAAAAAAAAUUAAUUUAGGGGCUGGACACGUGGCCAAGGGGUUAACUUCAUGCGCUCUGCUUUGGCAGCCUGGUGUUUGCCAGUUCAGAUCUCGGGCAUGGACCUACACACUGCUCCACAAGCCAUGCUGUGGCAGCAUCCCACAUGAAGGAACUAGAAUGACUUGCAACUAGAAUACACAACUAUGUACUGGGGCUUUGGGGAGAAGAAAAAAAAAAAAGAGGAAGAUUGGCAACAGAUGUUAGCUCAGGACCAAUCCUCUUCACACACAGACACACAGAAAAAACUGAUUUAUGUGAAAAAUUUUAGAAUUGGUAUAAGUUUUAUAAUUUUAACCUAUGUUGUCAUAGAUAAUGUAACAGGGUUAUUUAUAAGAGUUAAACACACAAUGCAUGUAAAAUUACCUAGCACAGCAUAUGACAAUAAAAGUUCAACAAAUGUAAACUCAUUUAUUCUUUUACUCAAAGAGAGUGAUUUUGUUCCUUCUUCCUCAUGACAACUUUCUAAUAAUAAAUUAUCAAAAAAAAUAGGUGAUUUGAUAAGUAGCUUCUCUCUUUAGCUCUAGAAGCAUUCAAAAAAAGAAGCAGACAAGCCAUCUAAAAGGAAUGCUGCUGAAUGAGUCCAUCAUGGUAUAUCAUCUGAUUGCUAGUGAACAUUAAUGAUACCUAUGUAUCCUUCUUCUAAAUACCAAUGAUUCUGCACUUUGACAUAUAAAAGACUCAGCCUAUUCUCUACCUAUACAUAGAGUAGUAGCCUCUCCAAGUCAUCUUCCAUCAGGUGUUUCAAUGUGGGAAACAAAGUCCAGUCCCACUUGAAAAAUUGCCUGCUGCUUCUUUAUUUAUGUCUAAAAUAAGCCAAGUUCUGCUUCUGAAAGAUGGAGUAUACACACUUUUUCCUCUUCUUCUCACUGCAUACAACUAAAAACCCUGAAUGUGACACAUAAAACAAACAUAAGAAGACUGAAAGUUGGAGAGAACAAAGCAGCUGACAUAGGGACCCAAGAAAUGACAUGACAGCAAGUUCUCUAGAUUUCUUUUUUUGCUUUAUAAAUCCCUGACUUGUAGUUGAAAAACCCAGUAACACAGAAAUACCAACAGGUACAGAUGAAAAAAGCCCCAACAAAAGCCUAUUCUUUCUAGCCAAAGGACCAGGAAACAGAUGGUCUACCAAGGCAGAAAACAUUCAGACAAUGAUGCAGACACUCCACUACAAGCAAACAUCAUAGAAAAAAGUAUGGCCCCGAGUGGGGAGCUUAGACUUCCACACUUGCCAGGCCGUAACAAGGUGCCUCAACCCCUCCAGAAUAGUGUCAGAGAAGGCUGAGUAGGAACUGGAACUUUCAUCCCCACCUCGCUGUUUGAGGCCCUCACUCUCGCAACCACAUGAUGUCAGUGGAGACCAGAUGAGGAGCCUGGACUUCUCCCCCCAACCAGCAGUAAAGAACCACCCCUCCUUUCCACAAUGGGGAGUGAUGUGCCAGUAGAGUCCACAUGGGAAGCAGUAAUGAGCACUCCUACUCCUCUCAGACAAGGCAGUAUCAGUGGAGGCCUUAGUGGGGCCUGGAGGGGAGCCAGAAUUCCAUCUCUCACCCUCCCCUGCUUGGGUGUCAGCAGAAGUUGAGGGGAAAACCUGUAUUUCUACCCCACCUAGCAGUAAUGUAGUGCCUGCACCUCUCCCCUACCAGAUUGGUGUCAUAGGAAGCCAGCUAAGACAGGAUUAAAUAAGAUCCAGUGUCUUGUAAUACCUAAAAUAUCCUGAUUCAAUGAAAAAUCACUUGUCAUACUAAGAAUCAGCAAAAUCUCAACUUGAAUGAACUUGAUAAUCAGUAGAUGCCAGAACAGAAAUGACAGAGACAUUAGAAUUAUCUGACAAAGAUUUCAAAGCAUUCAUCAUAAAAAUGUUUCAAUGAGCAAUUACAAACAUGCUUAAAACAAAUGAAAAAAAUCAAAAAAUCUCAGCAAAGAAAGAGAAAUUCCCAGCAAAUAAAUCAAAAUGUAUAAAAGAACCAAAGGAAAUUAAGAACUGAAAAUUGUAAUCAUCAAAAUUUUAAAACUUAAUGGAUGGCCUCAACAGUACGGGGAAAAAAAUCUACGAACCUGAAGAUAGAACAAUAGAAAUUACCCAAUCUGAACAACAGAGAGAAAAUAGAACAAAAUAAAGAAAUAACAGAACCUCGGGGUCCUGCAGGAUUAUAACAAAAGGCCUAAUAUUCAUGGCAUCUGAGUCCCAGAUGGAGAAGAAAAACAGGGCAGACCUGAGAAAGAACUCAAAGAAAUAACAGCUGAAAACUUCCACAAUUUGGCAAAAGACAUAAACCUAAAGAUUUAAAAAAGCAAGCAAACUCAAACUAAGAUAAACCCAAAGAAAUCCACACCGUGACACAUCAUAAUCAAAUAUCUGAAAAUAAAGAAAAAGUCUUGAAAGCAGGAAGAGAAACAACUUAUCUAUAGGGGAAAAACAAUACAAAUGACAGCAGAAAACAUCAUCAAGCAUGAAAGCCAGAAGGAAGUAACACUAUAUUUUUUAAGCAUUGAAAGAAAAGAACUGUCAAUCCUGAUUUCUAUAUAUUGUAAAAUUAUCUUUCAGGAAUGAAAGGGAAAUAAGGACACUGGAGGAAGGAAAACAAAAGAGUGUGUCACUAGCAGACAUACCUGAAAAGAACGGCUAAAGGAAGUUCUCUAAACAGAAAGGAAAUGAUAAAAAGCACUUUGAAACAUCAAGAAAGAAGAAAAACAUAGAAAGGGGAAAAUACAGGUAAAUAAGAUACAUCUUCCUUUUUCUCUUGAGCUUUCUAAACAUUUGACAGUUGAAGCAAAAAUUUAUAAUGCUAUUUGAUAUGGGUCUACUUGUAUGUAGAGAAAUUUAAGACAAUUAUAAGCAGAGGAAGGUACACAGAGGUGAGAUUUCUACACUUCACUCAAAGUGGAAAAAUGUUAACCCAAUUAGACUGUGAUACAUUAUGUGUAUAUAACAUGACACCUACAGCAACUACUAAAAAAAGCUGUACAAACAGAUACACUUAAAAAAUACCAUAGAUAAGUCAAAAUGAAAAGUGUUUUUGUAACAUUCAAGUAACCCACAGGAAGGCAAGACACAGGGGGAAAAAAAACAAGAUAAACAGAAAACAAAAAGUAAAAUGACAGACUUGAGAACCAACAUAUCAGUAAUUACAUUAAAUAUAAAUGGUCUAAAGUAAACCAAAUGCUUGAAAAUUGGGGGGCCUUCUGGAUUACAGAAACAGAAUAGCCUACGUCAUUAUCAAAAUUUGUCCAAUAUUUAUAUUUAUAUAUAAAUGGUACAAAAUUUAUGUUAAAUGUUAUUGACUAUUUUGUACAAUUAAUUCUGGAUAAAAUUAACUGAUUUCAUAUAAUUAGUAAUAUCAAUACUGUACAGAACUUGUACAUAGAGCAAAUAACUCAUAUAAACCUCUCAGCUCAGUGGUAGCUGUUACUAUGAGGACAGUAAUUGGGUGGCGCUCCUCACCAUUUCCCUGCUCUGUGUAUCAAGUUCCCACAGGGCUCUCUCCAGUGCCUUACUCCUCCUAAUAUAUACACUAUUCCUAAGUGACUUCAUCUAAACCCAUAGCUUCAACUACCACUUACACCAGGAUCAGCAAAUACUCAGCACACGUGCUACAAAUUCUCCCUUCAACCAAUCCCCGAGUUGGGCUCUCAACUUGCUAUUCUCUAGGCUGCCACUUCUUUUUUUUUUUUUAAAGAUUUAUCUUUUUCCUUUUUCUCCCCAAAGCCCCCCGGUACAUAGUUGUGUAUUUUUUUUUUCUAGUUGUGGGUCCUUCUGGUUGUGGCAUGUGGGAUGCCACCUCAGCAUGGCUUGAUGAGCAGUGCCAUGUCCACGCCCAGGAUUCAAACCGGUGAAACCUUGGGCUGCCAAAGCAGAGCAAGCAAACUUAACCACUCAGCCAUGGGGCCAGCCCCUAGGCUGCCACUUUUAACUGAUCAGUUGGAAUUUGAAAUGAAUUUUUUUUCCAUUCUGGAUAGAUACUGAUUGCCUAUUUUGAGUCCGCUAACACUUUCUCCUGGCUAAAUUUCACAAGUAAUUCCAACGGUCUGUCAUAAAAUUCCAUGAAAUCUGCUUAAAAUUAAAAAGGAAAUGGAAAAAGAAGUUGGCAAAAUAGAGACUGGAAGAAGGGAAAUAGUUUUAUAGUCUUAAAAGAGAUCAGUGGAGGCCUUGAAACUACUUUCCUAUUUGAAAGAGAAGCCCUGAGACAAGGCCAUUGAUGAAGGCAAGACAAGGAAUCCAAAAAUCUCAUGUGUUCUGGUACAAAUCCAUCAUAAGAGUGAGAGAUUUAUUGCAUGUUGUAUAAAAACCACUAGUGAACACGGAAUAUUUCUCCCUUAGACAAACUAAUAAGUUAAUAGUUCUUUAAGUUAAUGAUUCCAAGCAUUGGUGUAGCCUAUGUUGAAAUCAUUGAGGAGCACAAAGGAACUUUCAAUUGAUUUGAUACAGUUGACUCAUUUUACAGGAGGCAGCUGGGGUUCCUAAGUGGCAGAGAUAUCACUGAAUCGGUAUCUUCCCACUCCCAAAUCUGAACACCACUCUAAAGUAAAUUUCUGCCAUUUUUGUUUGUUAUUUACACAAUUACAUAUACAUACUGUAAAGCAGAAAUAUGUGCAAUACCAACAAUUUUACACAAACACAUAUAUACCCUUUUGCAAAAUCUAGCGUAAACAUUAGAAAAGGUUGGGUAACUGUCUCUACUACCACCCCCGGCCCCCACUGAACCAAACCAGUUCUAGAUUAAGACGUCCUAUCCUGUCUGUGGUAUGAAGAAUAAUGGGCCCUCGAAGAUGCUCACCUACUAAUUCCCAGAAUCAGUGAAUAUGUUAAAUUACAUGGUAAAGGGAAAUUAAAAUGGCUAAUCAAUUGACCUAGAAAUAGAGAUUAUCCUGGAUUAUGCAAGUGGGGCCCAAUGUGUUCUCAGGGUCCUUAAAAGUGAAAGAGGGAGGCUGUAGAGUCAGUGUCAGUGACUCUGUGAUGUAAUGUGAGAAUCAACGGGUCAUUGCUGGCUUUGAAGAUGCAAGAGGGCCAAGGAAAGUGGGCAUGAAAAUGGGUUCUUCCAUAAAGACUCCAGAAGGGAACUCAGCUCUGCUGACACAUGGUUUUUAACCCAGUGAGAUGCCUUUCAGAGCUAUAAGACUGUAAAAUAAUAGGUUUGUGUUGUCGUAAGCAACUCAGUUUGUGGUAAUUUGUUACAGCAGGAAUGGGAAAACUAAGAUAGUUUCCAUAGAUUCAUUUCACAUUUCCUGCAGCCAUCAAGAGUUGGAGCCUGGUUAUAAAGUAUCUAUCAAAGAGGAAUAAAUGAAUACUGGUACUAACACAAGGCAACUAAGUAAUCUGUUCCCUCAUAAAAUAAAAACUCCUCUCAGAAUUUAUUUCAAAGGAACAUUUAUUGACCCCAUAUUAAACGGGCAUGGUCAAGAGAUGCCCCUCUUCUGUCUGUAUACAAUUCCCUCCUCUGUUUAUCCUCAGCUGCGUACAUCCUAUAUCUCAUAGUCUUUUACAAUUAUUCAAUUUCCUAUAAUGAAAUGAUAGGCUUGUCCAGAAGCUCAGAAUCUUCUUAGAAAGUUGUGGUUAGCAGAGUGAUGGGCUCAUCUGCAAUUAAGUAAAGAAAUGGUUUUUAUUCACUUCCAGUAAUGUGUGUCUAGCAUUCACUGUGUGCAUUCAGCCAAUAACCUCAAGUAGCCCUGGUUAACAUAGGACUCCACUGAGUCUGUGGCACUGAAACUUUCCUUCUCCUAACUACCAUGGCACUCUGUCACGCCUGAAAUCUUCCCGGUGGAAAUGGAAUGCAAAUGGACUCCAUGAGAAGGAUUUGGGUGAAGGGCUGGUCUACGCUCAUACUUGGAAGCCCUGAGAGUAGCAUGUGAACCGGUUAUAUCCUCAUGUGUAAGAGCCAUAUUCUCUCUUCUCGCCCAAAAGUAAAUUCAGCUCAGUGAGUGUGGCUCCUGGCUGAGAAGGGUGUAAACACGGGCAGAGUACCUACCAGAGAGCCUCUUCUUGAGUCUGUUCUGGAAAGCUUCCCCAAACAUAUUCCCUAAAGACCAUAAUAGGCAGAAAAGUCAAAGAUCUUUGGACUUACCUGAUGCUACAAGGAUGGGCUCAUCGAAAUAAGCAGCAGUGACAACUUCUAGAAAUAAAGCAGUAAGUUUCUUAAUUUAAAAGGUUAAAACCUCCAUGGAUUUUUCUCUUCCUAUUAAAAACCAAAGUUUCUCAAUAUAUACAUAUUUCAAAUCAUUGUGUUGCACACCUUAAAAUUAUACAAUGUUAUAUGUCAAUUAUACCUCAAUAAAACUGGAAAAAACAAAAAUAAAAUAAAUGCAUUACAGGAAAAAAAACAAUAACAAAGUUUCUUGGUUUGUUGGUAAUCGCCGCAGUCAGAAAGCCUCUCUUGAUAAGCAGGCCAUGGGGUCUAGAUAUUAGCAGAAAUGAUCAGAGGGAUCUGGGCCAUGAGGCUGCUUCUUGCUCUUGGAGUCAAACAUGAGAGUUUUCCUACUGCUCCAUGGGAUAGGGGUGGGGGUGGGUGGGAUGGAGGACAUCAUUCAUUUACGUUAACUUAUUAAUCAACCACUACAGAUUGGCUAGUUAGAAAACAAUCCUGAGGUAGAGUUUUUCAUUUUGCAAAUGAGGUAUAUUCUUUGAGGAAGACAGUUAGUGGAACAGCAAGAAUUUAAAGCCAGAGAACCAACCCUUUUUAAUGGGCCCUCCAGCCUCCACUAAAACACAAUUUCUAGAUUCCUCCACUACUGCCUGCAAUCUCCCAAUACACUUAGAGCAGUGCUGGAAUACAGUAGAUCUCAAUAUGUACUAGCUAUUAUUUGUAGACAUAAGAAUCAAAUUGUUUAGAAAUUUGCUUUUGUAGGUAAGGUCCAAGGCUCUUUCACAUCAAAAGUCCCAGGCACACCUCAAACUGUUGGGGUUUGCUUGUAGGAGUGGAAGACAUUGAAUCUUAUGACCCCUUGGCUAAGUGGUGGACAGAAAAAUGAAAACUGAUGGAGGCUUGAGAGAGAGAGGAGCAGAGAUAGAAACACUGCUUAACUCAUGAAGCUUCUAAGUCUCUUUUUCUUCUGUUCAGUCUAAAUUCACAUAAGAUUUACACUUACCAUAAUCUUUGUUGGCAAAGCUCUCUGGCUGAACUGAAUUGUAGUCAACUGGAAAAGAAAAGGAAAUUGUUAACGUUUUUCUUGCCACCACAUCCAUCAACCCCUUGGAGAUACCAAGGAUCUCGUCCUCUUUAGAGAAGCCCAGAAGGCUGGUCCUGGAGAUCAGUCAGGGCAGAUCUCUGGGCUGGAGCUAUGCUGGUAUUCAACUGGUUUCAUCUCCUGACAAUCUGGGAAAAUGCUUCCAUUUUCCUCAAGUUUCAAAGCUCUUUUGGCCAAGUUUACUCCACCUCAGAGAACAAAGCACCAAAAGUAUCCCCAAAUGUGUAAGUUAUCAUAGGACAUUCCUCUGCAAGGAGCUAUAAACAGGGUAAGGGAGGCAGGGAGGAAUCUUGAAGACAGGGAUUCUUACCUGUGGCCUCAGUGGCUUCUUUCUCAAAGCUGAGGGUGCUUGAUUCCACAGCAGUAGACAAUUCUAGGAAAACAAAAUGGAAGACAGGUGUGGUUACAAGCUUAUGAAAGGAAUCAAGUACACUGGAGGAAAGCAGACUUUCCCUCAGAAAUGCAAAAGAUGGGAGCCCACCAACUCCUGCCCAGGCCCCCUCUGAAGCCAGAAACCUCACUUACCAAAAGCCUGUGUGUUCUUCAAAUACGCUUCAGUAGUCAAUUCUCCACCACGAAAGAACUCUACGUCAGUGGCCGACUCUAGGUCUGUGGUCAACUCUAGGUCAGUGGCCGACUCUAGGUCUGUGGUCGACUCCAGGUCUGUGGUGGACUCUAGGUCAGCGGUUAAAUCUAGUUCCUCACUUGGCUCUAGGUUAAUGACCAGCUCUCCACCAGUGAGCGGCUCUAUGACAACAGCCGGCUCUUCAGGCUCCAGGACAACCACUGGCUCUGGGUCGGCAGAUAGCACCGGGUCAUUGAUAAUGUGUAUGAAUUCUAAAGGAGACAAAAAAGAACAAGACAGCCCAAGCGCUUUCUACCAAGAAUAUUUCCGUGAUCUCCACAUCCUUCCCAUUCCCAGGGGAAAACAUGGAACAUAAAAGAGUAUAUUGAAUCAAAUGUGGUCUCACCACAAGUCUCUCUUCUGCCAGCUGCUAGAAAAUCCAGAAGACUAACUGCCACCCAGGAAUAUGCUCAGUGUCCUCUACACUACCCUCCUUUGAGGGGGUCAGUUUAGGAAAGAGCAUUUGAUAUUGUGCCUCUAAAUAAGAAUUGGUCAGACCGGAACAGAAUAAAAAUUCCAGAGUCCCCAUCUAUACUCUUUCCAGUUCCUGAAAACCAAACAAAAACAAAAGGGAGUGUGGAGCAAGGAAAACAAGUAUUUCCAAAGUGCGUGAGCAAGAAUGGAAUCAACUCUAAAAUGGGCUACUCCUACGAUUUUGUCAUUUAAUGGGCUAUGUCAAGGACUUCAUUUUCCAGCCUCUCCUGUAGAAUGCACAAUGCAGAUGUUUUGGGGCUUGCUAACCACAAAAGCAUCAAAACUGUGUAAGCCUGAUCGACGUACAACUAGGGUCUUCUUGGACGAUAGUGAAAGAUAUGUAGUCACUAUGGCUGCUUGGUUCAGCAGGUUAUGGGCACCCUGCCAGUGAGGCCAAAAUCAUUAGCUCCCUAACUCAGUCACUUUGCUUUAUCACUCAUUCAUAUGCAGUAAAGAACCCCAAACCUAGCACCCGAUAAACAGAGCUACCAGAGGGAAAGCUGGGGGCAGAAAAAUGGGGGGAAGUAACCAUUUUAAUGCAAAUGAAUGAAAAACCUUCCUCCUGAGAAAUGAACUGAAUUCAGGAAGGACUAGAAAAGGCAAGCCUUCCCGGGAAAUCUUCCUUUCUCUGGUUCAUGAGGACAUCUAUUUCUUUCCUGUCUCAAUGUGACUCACAAGUUUCCAUUGCAGACCCACUGAUUUCCUGCGUGUGACUGAGUUAGCCACUAAAGCACUUGGAGUUUUACUAUAAAAUGAGGGCAUACCCUAGGACUUUUUAACCUGAAUUAAAUAGAAUAAAGCCUCUUUAGCCUUCAAUAGGGAAUAGAACCACGGAAAACCGUCAGUAAUUCUCUAAUCACCCACCUUAAGCCCAUCUGGCCCAGCCUUCUUACCUUUAUGAGGUCAAUUCAAACACACAACCCACUUCUUAGCUUAGCCACUUAACUACCCAAGGCCUCAGAGCUCAGCCGCCCAUCCCACCUCCAGCCCAAGUUGAUAUAAAUUUUACCCAUUUCAUUUUAUGAUGUUCACUGCAGGUCUCUGUCUCUGUCUGCCUCUUUCUCCGUACUCAUACACACGGCAGACACCGUGAAAGGAUUUUAGCCCUCUUCUCUAAAGACGUCCAAACAGUCCACUUACCCUGGAAUGCGAUGGGACCGAGAUCAGUUUCUGGCGAGUGGGUUGAGCUGGAAGUGAUAUCCUGCAGGAUAUAUCUCUAUCCUUCCCUGAUUCCCACCUCAACAGACACAAGCUCUGAAGCACCUGCAUGGAACCAGGCAUUUGACCCAGGGCAAGAUGCCUCUGUGAUUUCAAACCCCAAUGAUCAUUCUCCCCUCAGGAAGCAGUUGCCAGAGACUAAGACUCAAGUUUCUCCCCUGGGGAACAAGGAGCCCAGAAGGGGAUAAAGAUAUUGUGACUUGGGCCAUCUGACCUCACAGAUUAGAUAUGGAUAAGGAUUAGCCCGGUCUUCUAAGGUCAGAUCAAGCAUUUUUCCAGCAUCUGUUCAGUGACCCAACAAUUACACUAAGUACUUUGGGCAAUUCAAAAAAAGCCCCAAAGUGGAUUCCUUCUUUAAAGUUAUAACCAUGAAGCCAACAGAUGUAUAUUACAAAGGCAGUUUAUAAUAAGAUACUAAGAAAUCUAAUACAGGGCCAGGGAUACAAAGAAAAAGCUCGUAUCUAACAAAUGUUUACAGAGUCACUGUGAAAUGUAAUGACUGGAGCAGAAGAGGCAAAGAGGUCAAAAUCACAGACUCUGGAGUCCACCAGCCUGAGUGUAAAUCCUGGCUCUGCCAGUAAUAAUUAGGCAAGCCUGGGAAAGUUGCUUAACUUACAGUAUUUCAGUUUUCUCUUCUAAGUAACGGAGAUAAAAGCAGUUUUUACUUCAUUGCAUUGCUGUAAGGAUUAAAUUAAUGUAUUCAUGUAAAGUGCCUGGAAUAAGAAAAGUAAAUAAUAAAAAUUAGCUACUACUAUUAGGUGCUGAAGAUGAAAAAGGCCCGGGUCCCCAGUGAGUUGAUAAUAUUGUUUUACAGUGGGAACAUAAAGGAGCAUUGCACUGCAAAGCUCCUUGGGGAAGAUGGAACAAGUUGAAGUAAGAGUGGGAUUUAUUUGAAUUCAAUAAACAUCUCUCUGGAUUUAUGGAGGGACAGAAAGUAAACAGAAAGGCCUCUAGGCAAAAGGAAGUAUCAGUGUAUUGAAAGAUUCAAAAAUGUCCAUUAAUAGAAUGUCCAAGGUGUCAUGUCAUGUCAACUAUAAUAAAUUUGAAAACAUAGAGGAAGAACAUAUUAAUUCCUAGGCUGUGAAGCGCUGAGGCUGGAGCCAUCGUAAUCAACUGUGCUUUGCCCACUCCUACAGAGUCUGUUAUAGUGCUUUACACAGGGCAGUUGCCAAAUAAAUGAUGAUUCAUUUGUACUGAAUUCUAACAAGGGGUUGGUGGGAAACCAUCAUCAAAUCCAUUGUUUGAGCAGUAGAAUAGUAUCUAAAACCUUGGGUUCUGGACUUAAGAGAGUCUAGUCAUGAGUCCAGGUCCUUGUGAGAACUUGGGCUUGCCCAGUUCACUCUAUCCUUCAGUUUUCCUUGUCUGCAAAAUACAGGUGAUAAUAGUUAUCAUUUCACAGGGUCUUUGGGAGAAUUAUAUGAACGAAUCUCUGUAAACUGAUAACUGGCAUAUACAUAGUAAACAAUCAAUGAUUAGCAACUAUCAUUAUUAUAGCUUGAAAUGGACCCUGAAGAAUGAAUUAAAACUGUAAGAUUAACUAUUCUCAUUACAGAGAAGUUUCUGAUUGGAGAAUAUAGUGAGAGGGUGAGGGAAAGGGGGUAGCAGGAGAGGAGGUGGUGAGAGAGAGUCUGAAAUAACAUUUGGAACCAGACCAAGGAGAACUUCAAAAACUAAAGAUUUGAGUCAUUAUUCUGCCAGCAAAAUGGAGUCUUUGAGGUUGUUGAAUCAAAGAUUGUUGUAAUAAGAUUCACCGAACCUGCACAAAUAGAAAGCAGGUCAGCUGUGACACUGCACAGGCAAGAGCUACUGCAGGUUAGGCUGACAUUACGAAGGUGAGAUUAAAGGGACUAGGUGGCUGACUGAAUGUAGUGCAAGGCACCCCCACCAAGAGAUAUGUAUAGGCUCCCAAGAGUUGCUUUUCUAGCCUUUUACUUCCUCUAGGACUUGAAUUCCCAGAGUCAAAACCCCUAUGCUAAAAAACAAAAAGGAGACAGAAGAGGAGAAUGAAAAGAAUGAUGAUUCCUGAGAUUUGACUGAGAGUCUUGCCUGGUGGUGAAUGAGCAAGGAAGGAAACACACUAUGGGACACCAAAAGUGGAUUUCACUGGGUUUGAAUAUAGUUUUAAGGCCCAUGUUUUCUUUGGCACUAGUACAUAUCUUCAUGGGAAAUUUUGAGACUGACAACAAUGUCUCUGUCUGUGAACUAUUUUGCCUCAAGAUCAGUCCCUUUUAAGUCAUUGGGACAGGGUGGGAUGUUCCAGCAGCUAACUGAUAAGAAAAAAAAUAGUUAUAACAAUGAGAUACCAUCCCAUAUUCAUUAGGAGGACCGCUAUUAAAAAAAAAGAAAAAGAAAACAGUGGGCUGGCCCCGGUGGCUGAGUGGUUAAGUUCACGCGCUCCACUGCAGGCGGCCCAGUGUUUCGUUGGUUCGAAUCCUGGGCGUGGACAUGGCACUGCUCAUCAAACCACACUGAGGUAGUGUCCCACAUGCCACAACUAGAAGGACCCACAACAAAGAAUAUACAACUAUGUACCGGGGGGCUUUGGGGAGAAAAAGGAAAAAAUAAAAUCUUUAAAAGAAAAAAAAAGAAAACAGAAAAUAAUGAAUCUUGGCAAGGAUAUGGAGAAAUUAGAACUCUUAUGCACUGUUGUGGGAAUGUAAAUGGUGCAACCACUGUGGAAAACGACAUGGAGGUUCCUCAAAAAGUGAAAAAUAGAAUUAUCAUACAAUCCAGCAAUCACACUUCUGGGUGUAUAUCCAAAAGAAUUCAAAGCAGGAUCUCAAAGAGAUAUUUGCACAUUCGUAUUCACUGUAGCAUUAUUCACAAUAGGUAAGAGAUGGAAGCAACCCAGAUGUCCAUCAACAGAUGAAUGGAUAAAGAAAAUGUGGUAUAUGCAUACAAUGAAAUAUUAUUCAGCCUUUAAAAAGGAAGGAAAUUUUGUCACAUGCUAUGAAUGAGGUCGUAUGGAUGAACAAGCAAGGUCAUAUGAUGAAUGUUGAAACAUUAUGCCAAGUGAUAUAAGCCAAUCACAAAAAGACCCACUUAUACAGGUAUCUAAAGUAGUCAAACUCAUAGAAUCAGAAAGUAGAAUGGGGGUUGCUAGGGUCUGGGAAGAGGGAGAAAUGGAAGUUGUUGUUCAAUGGAUAUAGAGUUUUAGUUUUGCAACAUAAAAUACCUCUAGAGAUCUGUUGCACAACAAUGUGAAUAUACCUAACACUACUGAACUAUACAUUUAAAAAUGGUUCAGUGGCAAAUUUUAUGUUAUGACUUUUUACCACAACUAAAAAUUUUAAAAAUAAUUAUAAUGGUUAAUAAUGACUAAAUGAUGAUUACUAUGUGCCAAACACAAUGGUAAGUAUUUUACAAAUUCUAAGUACUUUACUCAUUUUGAUCCUCAUAACAAUUCUAAAAGGCAUGUAAAUUAUUAUCACUGCAGAUGAGGGAACUGAGGCACAAAGAAUUUAAGUAAUUUGCCCAAAGUUACAGAGUUAAUAACAGGUAGAGACAGAAUUCAGUCCAGGCAGAAAGGCUCAAAGUCAAUUCCCAUCAUUUAUACAGAUUCACCUCUACUCAUCAUCUUGGUGUCAAGGGCAAUUAUUCUGAUAGUUCAGGAUUAAUUCCUUCCUUUUGUCUCUGCCUCAACUAUAUUGACAGUUCAGAGGACAGGGACACAGACUUAUACAACUUUAUGACAUGUUUUCUAACAACACCUAAGUAGGUGCCUUGCCCAUUAUUGUUGAACCAAAUUAGCUCGUGCAUUUUAAACCAUCCCUUAACCACCCUAACACUCACUAAGUAAAGCUGAAAGGAGGUUAAAGGAUGGAUAGGAAAUGGAAAUCCCCAUUACUGUAUUUGGUAAAUCCCCAAGGCAAUCAAAACAAAGUCACAAAAUCUUUUUUUUUUUUUAAGAUUUUUUUUUAUUAUUUCCUUUUUCUCCCCAAAGCCCCCUGGUACAUAGUUGUAUAUUCUUCGUUGUGGGUCCUUCUGCUUGUGGUAUGCGGGACGCUGCCCCAGCGUGGCUCGAUGAGCAGUGUCAUGUCCGUGCCCAGGAUUCGAACUGACGAAACACUGGGCCACCUGCAGCGGAGCGCGCGAACUUAACCACCCGGCCACGGGGCCAGCUCCCACAAAAUCUUUUGUAUACCAUUUUUUUUUUCUCUCUUGAUCACUGAGUUUCCUCCAGCAAUAUUGCCUCGUACCCUUUUCUUUAAAAAAAUAUAUUAAGAGAAUCUCUCUUAAGAACAGGAGUACCGUUGUUCUGUUAGGAAGAGCCCGAAAUUGUGGCUCCUCCCAACAGUGCUACAGUCUCAUUGACCACCUGGCCUGUCCCCUACUCUUUCCUUAGAGAAUCAUACCACCACCAUUCCACCAUGAUUACAUUACCCAAACAAUUUUGUUGAACCAAUGUUUAGUUGAAUGAAUAUGAAGUGCCUGAAAGUGUGCUGGGGAUGCAGAGUUGAAUGGACCCUGCCUCCAAGAAUCACACCAUCUAGUAGCGGAGGUAGAAAGGUUACAGAAUAUAAUCUUAGGAGAAAUUAAUUCUUAGCACCAGUUCUAACCAUUUGAGCAAACAUUCUGGCUAAGAACCCAACCUCCCCGCUCCUGGAAUUCAUUCAUUAAAGGCACAUUUAUGGAUCAGCUCUUUUGUGAAAAAUUCUUUACUAUCCCAAUAUCUCAAAGCUAUGAAAAAAAUAAAUGAAUUAUAAGAUGUAAUAUGACCAGAGCCCUAAGAUAAGUACAAGGUUUGUAGUGAUCCAGAAGGGAUAGAGAUUAUAUUCAACUAAUGGUGGUCCAUUAAGUCAACAGUUGUUGAACAACACAAUGAAUCAGAAACUAUGCUGGACUCUAGCUACACAAAGACAAACAAGUUACAUCUCUGAGUCUAAAGGUAUUUCUGGUUAAUAGAAGUUCAAGAGAGCCUUCAUAAAGGAUGUAGCAUUUUAAUCAGACUCUAUAAGAUGGGUAAGAUUUCAUCAGGGGAAAACGAUGGAUAAAACGGAGGGUUUUCAGGAAGAAGACAUAGUCCAAGUAAACACACAGAGACACAGAGAUAGGAGAGUGGAGGACACGUUCAGAAAACAUCAAGUAGUCUAAUUUGUCUUAAAGGUAUGGUCCAGAGAAUGUGGAAAUUUGAGGCCAGGUAAUGAAACACUUAACUUAGAAUGGUAGACAAAAGAGAUUUGAGGGGCUGGCCCUGUGGCUGAGUGGUUAAGUUCGCACGCUCCGAGGCAGGCUGCCCAGUGUUUCGUUGGUUCGAAUCCUGGGCGCGGACAUGGCACUGCUCGUCAAACCACGCUGAGGCAGCGUCCCAUACGCCACAACUAGAAGGACGCACAACGAAGAAUAUACAACUAUGUACUGGGGGGCUUUGGGGAGAAAAAGGAAAAAAUAAAAUCUAAAAAAUAAAUAAAAAAUAAAGCGUCAAACUACAUAUGUUCUAAAAAAAAAAUCCUUUCCUCUAUUUAAAAAAAAAAAAAGAGAUUUGACUCAUUGGUAGAUAAUGGCAUGUUAUCUAAGGUUUUUUAGUAGCUUAAACUGAUCCAAUUCAUAUUGCAUGAAGACAGACAGUAAAAAGAAUAUAAAGGAAAGAAGAGAAGAGGAUCAUCACAGCAGCACAAGCAAGACAUUGAGUAGCAAGUUUACCAUGAAGGUAGUAAGCAAUACGAUCAGCAAUUUAUGUUUACAUGUUUGAUAUGAGAAGCGAGUGUCCAGAGAAAGGAAAAGGACUCCAGGUUGUAAAGCACAAAUUAUUCCAAUGACAUACACAAGGGUUCAAACCAGGAGCAAGUUUCUGAAUGGUAUUGGGAGGAGUAGAAGGUUGGUGAGGAGUGGAUUUGCAGGAGUGGGCAAGAUGAGUUUGGCUAGUGGAAUUUAGGUGCUUUAAGAGAAUCUUGAGCCUUGUGGGCAAAACUCCUAUUAAGCCAUUAGUCUCUAAAUUCCAGAUGGUAUAUGAAAAUUAGGAGACAAUUUUGAGGAAGGAAAGGGCUUGCUGGCAAUACUCCUGUUAAGAGAACCUUGAUAGAACUAUCCUACAGGCAGUAAAAAACAUGAGGCUGAAGCCCAUGAGGUUCUGGUUUAUGAUCAUGAUUUUGCUUUAUGCAUUGAGAUGUGUGAUUCAUUUCCCUCAAAGUGAUGACCAUGACCAAACAAUGGAUACGAUUCCAAGACAGAUGCAAAAAGCCAGGAGGACUAGGCAGAAGCUUGGUCUAGGGAAAUGCUUUCCUUUAGGAAGAUGGAGGAAAAGUCAGCAUAGGAAACGGAAGUUAGAGAAGUAGGAAAACCAGAAUGUUAGAUGGACACAGAAAACAAGAAGGAGAGAAUUUCAAGGAGAUGGUAAACAGCAUCAGGUACAGCCAAGAGAGAUCAAGAAUAAAGGAAAAUAGGGGAGGAAGUAAGCAGAGGGGCAAAGAGAUCCACAGAAAAAGCGAGGUGUUUUUUUUUUUUUUUGGAGGGGGUAGUUAUUUCAGUUUUUAGGUAAGGAGUAUUAAAAACAAGAAAGCAGACUCAAAAUGGAAUUGCUUAUGCUAAGCCCCAAGUCAACACCCUGAAAUUUAACUUAAUUACAGGUUCAGCUAUCCCAGAAAUGGAAUCUUAAACCAGUCAAUCAGGAAUCUCCUGAUCAGCACUGGUUAUCUUCCUAAUAGACCUCUCCCAUCCCCUAAAGGAAAAUGACCUUGCAAAGACCAACCUGCCUUUUCAUUUAGUAUAACUUCCUUGUUCUCACCCCCUUCUGCCUAUAAAAUUCUUCCAUUUUGUAUGGCCCCUCAGAGCUUCUUUUUGUCAACUGGAUUGAAUGCUGCCUGAUUCAUGAAUCUUUGAAUAAAGCCAAUAAGACCUUAAAAAUUUACUCAGUUGAACUUUGUUUUGUAACAGUUGACAAGGGCAUAGUUUAGGCAGAGGAAAAGGAGACAAAAGGGAGUAAGAGAAUGAAAGUGUCAGAUGGUAAAAGUGUUGGCAUAAAUGACAGCAAAGAGUAGCAAAAAAUAUGUUUGAUUCCCUAUUUACACUUCUGUUUUCUCCCACCAAAGUAAGCACCUUUUAGGAAAGGACCAAGAGUUGUUUGUGUUUGUACCCCAGACAGAGAUUGCUUUUUCUCCCUCGUACCCAUUCUCCUCUUCUCUCCCACAG
RNAcentral lists this long non-coding RNA (23577 nucleotides) under Equus caballus (horse). Its description in RNAcentral is "lncRNA (ENSECAG00000050208.1)". The record is from RNAcentral. Lineage: Eukaryota; Metazoa; Chordata; Mammalia; Perissodactyla; Equidae.